CAUCAAGCUGAAUGUCUGAUCCUUGAGAGAAGUUUUUUCCGACCACUUCAUCACCGCAGGGACUUCUGCAAACCCUCUGCAGCUGCUUCACCCCUGCUGGUCCCUGCCCUGGACAGGGGAAGGGAGGACAUCCAUGGGAGCAGGGUUCCCUCCCAGCAGCUCCAUAGGCUCCUCCUCAAGUCUGACCAUGUCAGAAGUCCUUGGGAGAUCCCAAAAAAAAUGGGACUUUGGGAAUGUUUAGGGAUCAGUUCAUUAAUCCUGUCCUGGUCCUCACAUGAGGAUGGCCUUGAGAGGUCCAUUCCAACCUCAAUGACACUGGUUUUCUGAGUUUGUUAUCAGAGUAAGAGGAGAUGUUGGAUCCUUGAUCCCAGCUGCAUAUCCAUGAACCAAGAGAGAUAUGGAGGUACCAGGGAUCACAGAACCCUGUGAACACAGAAUCACUGAGGCUGGAAAUCCCUCCAAGGUCAUGGAGCCCAAGCUGUGCCCGAUCCCCCUUUGUCCCCAUCCCGGAGCUCUGAGUGCCACCUCCAGCCCUUCCUUGGACACCUGCAUGGGUGGGGACUCCAAACCUCCCUGGGCAGCCCCUGCCAAUGCCUGACCAGCCUUUCCAUGGAGAAAUUCCUCCUGAGGAUGCUUCAGGGAAGACCCAGGCACAAGACCAGCAACUUCAGGACAAAGCCCGAGGGUAAGGACAGCUUGGGUUAAGGCAGCCUCACCCACAAGCUGCAGCCACCUGUUGUGUGACACUGGGGACAACAGAACCCCAGAGCAGCUGCCCGAGGGCUCUCCCUGAACCUACAUCAUGGCUGGACAUAUCCCAAAAGGAUUUUUCCUGGGUCAGAUGGGAUCUGACAGGCCACACCCAGCUGGAUCCCAGGUUUACAGCAGAUCCCUGGGAUCUGCUGGCUCUGGCGUGGGCAGAGCCCUGGAGGUGCCCUGGUGUCUGAAGGCUCAGGGAAUAGGGAGCAAGAAAAGAGCCAGAGGAGCCAGGGGAUUUCUCAAAGUCUUUGUUGUAAUCUCAGACCUUGAUCGAGCCGCAGGUCAAGUCACAGAAAAGUGGCACAAACUGUGCAGGUCAAAAGCACCUUGGAUGGAGGGUUGGGGAUUCCAAGAAUCCCUUUGUCAAACCUCACAACAGCCCUGUGAGGUAGGAAACACCCCCGGCGGGGGACUGAGGCACAGAGAAAUGCAGUGGCUUGGCCAGGGCUUGGGACAAGCCAGUGGCACGGGCAGGAAUUCUCCUGCUCUUGUUCCCAGCUCGUGGCUCCUUCCCCUUGGAGUGUGACCCCAGGAUCGUCACCGCUGUUCCUUGUGCAAGCGGACAGGAGGUCAGGAGGCGCCUGAGAACUUGGAUCCUUCAUGGAAGUGUCCCAGCACCGCGUGGCCCAGCCCAGCCUGGGCACCAGGUUUCUGUCUCCCCGAGACGAUGCCCAGCGUGGAGCUGUGCUGGCAGCGGCUGGGGCUGCAGGCCUGGAGGAGAAGGAGGAGGAGGAGGAGGAGGUAGCUGCAAGGACAUCACGCUGUCACCAGCAUCUUCCAUCGGUGGGGAUGUUCACUUCCCCCAGUCACCCCAGCCCAGCCCGUGUGCAAUGUCCAGAGAACUGAAGCUGGGAGGGGAAUUGGCCAGGAAGCAGUGCCAAGAGCCGUGGUGGGAUCUCCAUCAUGGGAACCCCACCUCCAACCAACCCCUGGUCCAGCCGUGGUGCCAAUGUCCCCUCUCCACCCCACCGCUACAGUUUGUGUGCUGAAUACAAA
Long non-coding RNA from Passer domesticus (house sparrow), 1755 nucleotides. RefSeq lists it as uncharacterized. The record is from RefSeq and is a predicted model, not a curated record. The transcript has 2 exons. Lineage: Eukaryota; Metazoa; Chordata; Aves; Passeriformes; Passeridae.